This 226-nucleotide ribosomal RNA is filed under the name uncultured bacterium. Its description in RNAcentral is "partial 16S ribosomal RNA". It matches the Rfam family "Bacterial small subunit ribosomal RNA", at positions 15 to 230 of the family's 1533-position model. The record is from RNAcentral.
GAUCAUGGCUCAGAAUGAACGCUAGCCACAGGCUUAACACAUGCAAGUCGAGGGGCAGCAUGGUCUUAGCUUGCUAAGGCUGAUGGCGACCGGCGCACGGGUGAGUAACACGUAUCCAACCUGCCGUCUACUCUUGGCCAGCCUUCUGAAAGGAAGAUUAAUUCAGGAUGGGAUCAUGAGUUCACAUGUCCGCAUGAUUAAAGGUAUUUUCCGGUAGACGAUGGGG